AGCAGCCGCGGUAAUUCCAGCUCCAAUAGCGUAUAUUAAAGUUGUUGCAGUUAAAAAGCUCGUAGUUGAAUUUCGGGAUUUAUCCGUCGGUCGGGCUUUUGGGUCUGUACUGGCGUGAUGGAUUCCUACCUUCUGAAUAACCGGCAUGUCAUUAAUUUGGUGCGCCGGGGAAGCAGGACUGUUACCUUGAAAAAAUUGAGUGCUUAAAGCAGGCUUAUGCCUGAAUACAUUAGCAUGGAAUAAUGAAAUAGGACGGCAUGGUUCUAUUUUGUUGGUUUCUAGGAUCACCGUAAUGAUUAAUAGGGAUAGUUGGGGGCAUUAGUAUUCAAUUGUCAGAGGUGAAAUUCUUAGGAUUUAUUGAGGACUAACUACUGCGAAAGCAUUUGCCAAGGAUGUUUUCAUUAAUCAAGAACGAAAGUUAGGGAUCGAAGACGAUCAGAUACCGUCGUAGUCUUAACCAUAAACUAUGCCGACUAGGGAUCGGAUGAUUGUUAAUUUUUAUGUACU
Molecule: ribosomal RNA, 507 nt
Filed under: uncultured Acaulospora
Lineage: Eukaryota; Fungi; Glomeromycota; Glomeromycetes; Diversisporales; Acaulosporaceae
Description: SSU rRNA
Rfam family: Eukaryotic small subunit ribosomal RNA
Source: RNAcentral